GUUGACUUUUAAACCUCAAGCAGCACAGAAGGUGUUAGGCUGGGGGAACUAUAUUACUUUAACUCAAAUGUCGAGGAAGAUUGAGAAUGACUGAGCCUAAUCUCACAUCUGGGUGUAAAUGAGUGCCCAACCCCUACAGGCUGUGUUCACCGUCUGGUAAGCCUGAUGUGCAGAUGAGAGACUUCAGCUUCCUUACCAGUAUUUUUGCCUCCUGCAGGAAACUGGAGGCUCCAGCGUUACACCAGCUUUGCAGUGUCUUUGAAGAGAGAAAACAUCCGUAUCUGUAAUAUGAAAAAGUGUUGCAAGUUUUCCUAAAUGAAAUGGCAUAAAGGAGCAGCUCUUGCAGGAUGGGAAAUCCCUCACUGUGUUCAUACGUGUUUGACCGUCUCACACACACUGCUGUCCAUGAAGAGAAGCGUGUCAUCUCCAUGGAGCUACUCUUGGAAUAAGAACUAG
Molecule: long non-coding RNA, 456 nt
Filed under: Cairina moschata (Muscovy duck)
Lineage: Eukaryota; Metazoa; Chordata; Aves; Anseriformes; Anatidae
Description: domestica (muscovy Duck (domestic type)) lncRNA (ENSCMMG00000007829.1)
Source: RNAcentral